Long non-coding RNA from Erpetoichthys calabaricus (reedfish), 506 nucleotides. RefSeq lists it as uncharacterized. The record is from RefSeq and is a predicted model, not a curated record. The transcript is spliced from 3 exons. Lineage: Eukaryota; Metazoa; Chordata; Cladistia; Polypteriformes; Polypteridae.
UACAAAUUCUUUAUCAGAUUGAAACGACAAGGCGAUAUCUUUAGGCGUAAUAAGACCACUGAUGUUCUUGUACAUUGAAAACAUACAGCUCUUCAAGGACUCCCAUUAUUUUUGAGGGAGAAGACUGACAUUCUGCUGAGGACUUGUCUGGAAACAGACCCAGAGGAAAGUGGCACCCAAGGCCUGAAAGUGGGUAUCAUCAUUAUUGUUGAGGAUGAUGUUGCCAUUGUCCAUUCCAACCCCAAUAUUGUCAGAACAGACAUUGUACUGGAGGAGCAGAUUAUGCUGGAUGAGCUGCGUGAUCUGCCCAGUGCAUUUGCACUCCUGUUUGGCUUACUCUAUGUACUAAAUAUUGACUAUCCCAGGGAACUAAAAUAUACUUUUGAGGUGAUUCAAAAGGUGUUCAUGAACCUAGGAUCCCAGUGCUCUGCAAGAGUCCAGUCCCUGAAAAACAAACUUCUGCAGUAAUCACAGAUACCUUUUGAAGUUUGUCAGUUUUAGUUUAA